This 339-nucleotide unclassified non-coding RNA is filed under the name soil metagenome. RNAcentral's name for it is "partial contains 5.8S ribosomal RNA, internal transcribed spacer 2, and large subunit ribosomal RNA". The stretch from base 1 to 120 matches the Rfam family "5.8S ribosomal RNA", at positions 35 to 154 of the family's 154-position model. The record is from RNAcentral.
GAUGAAGAACGUAGCGAAAUGCGAUAACUAAUGUGAAUUGCAGAAUUCAGUGAAUCAUCGAGUCUUUGAACGCACAUUGCGCCCCCUGGUAUUCCGGGGGGCAUGCCUGUCCGAGCGUCAUUGCUGCCCUCAAGCACGGCUUGUGUGUUGGGCUCCGUCCCCCCGGGGACGGGUCCGAAAGGCAGCGGCGGCACCGAGUCCGGUCCUCGAGCGUAUGGGGCUUUGUCACCCGCUCUGUAGGCCCGGCCGGCGCCAGCCGACAACCCAUCAUCCUUUUCAGGUUGACCUCGGAUCAGGUAGGGAUACCCGCUGAACUUAAGCAUAUCAAUAAGCGGAGGA